CAACCUGCCUAUAACUAGGGAAUAACCUUGCGAAAGUAAGACUAAUACCCUAUGAUUUCCUUUGAUGACAUCAGAUUAGGAAUAAAGAUUUAUCGGUUAUAGAUGGGGAUGCGUCUGAUUAGCUUGUUGGCGGGGUAACGGCCCACCAAGGCAACGAUCAGUAGGGGUUCUGAGAGGAAGGUCCCCCACAUUGGAACUGAGACACGGUCCAAACUCCUACGGGAGGCAGCAGUGAGGAAUAUUGGUCAAUGGGCGGAAGCCUGAACCGGCCAAGUAGCGUGCAGGAUGACGGCCCUAUGGUUGUAAACUGCUUUUAUACAGGAAUAAAGUUAGCCACGUGUGGUUAUUUGUAGGUACUGUAUGAAUAAGGACCGGCUAAUUCCGUGCCAGCAGCCGCGGUAAUACGGAAGGUCCAGGCGUUAUCCGGAUUUAUUGGGUUUAAAGGGAGCGUAGGCCGUCUGUUAAGCGUGUUGUGAAAUGUAGAUGCUCAACAUCUGAAUUGCAGCGCGAACUGGCAGACUUGAGUGUGCGCAACGUAGGCGGAAUUCGUGGUGUAGCGGAGAAAUGCUUAGAUAUCACGAAGAACUCCGAUUG
Molecule: ribosomal RNA, 594 nt
Filed under: uncultured Bacteroidota bacterium
Lineage: Bacteria; Pseudomonadati; Bacteroidota
Description: bacterial SSU rRNA
Rfam family: Bacterial small subunit ribosomal RNA
Source: RNAcentral